AGGAAGAGACAAAAAGAACUGGAAGAAGUUGGGGAAAAAAGGGUAAAAGUUACUCAGAAGUGAAAAACAAGUUUUGAAUAAAAUAAGAUGGAUCAAUUAAGAGUUCCCACAUUUCUAAAAAUGUUGAGAAAUCCAGCAGAAAACUGGAAAAGUUUUAAACAAGAGCUUGAUUUAUUUCUGAGGGCAUAAGGAAGAGGAACAAAAGAUUGUCAUCUUUUUGGAUAUUGCAGAAUGUCCAGGAAGAUUGAAGUGUUCUCCUACUGGCUUUUGUAUGUUACAUUCCUGAUGUCCGAUUUGUGUCUGACAAUAUCAGUAAACUUUACACGUGUUUGCAUCAAAAAACUUAAGAACGUCCAGACUCAGUCAGACCAAAGGUCCAUCUAGCCUACUAUCCUGUCUUCCAACAGUGGCCAAUGUCAAGUGCUUCAGAGGGAUUGAACAGAACAGAAAGCACAAGCAGAAUGCUUUAUGAUGUUCCCACCUCUGAAGCUGCACAAGACAUGCCAUUUAUAUAUCAUCAGUCAAGCGACAAACAAAUUCCCUUUUAUUGGCAGGACUUAUUGCCACAGCAGCACAAAUGCAGAAGCUUAGUUCUUGAAGAAAAAGGUUUUUGACCUGGCAGAUGGGUCCAAGACUGGAAAAUUCUGGCCUCACAACACAGAGACUAACAGCACAUGUUGUUUCUUAAUUUACAGAUUUUAUAUGUCUAUGUUGUUGUUUUCAAAAACAAUCCACCAAUCUGUUGAUCAGAUUUAAAGAUGGGGGAGGCAAGGGGAAGCUGUGUUAAGGCUGUAUUCUUACCCGACUCCAAAGCACACAUUUUCCAUGAGAGAUGGUUUGAGGGAGCCAAGUCUCUUGCCCCAGCCAGUCCAGCUCUACUCGUAAGUUAGAACAGGCCCCAACAAAUCUUUGGGCUUUGCUCUCUCUCUCUCUCUCUCUCGGGUUUACCCAGUGGAUCCAAAUGGCUGUGGAGUCAUUGGUCACACCCAUGUCCCUUCUCUGACCCCUCUGCCUCCAAUGCCAUCCCUUUGCUCUGUGGUGUGGAGAGAAAAGACUUCUAAAACUCUAAAGGGGCAGCACACAAAAAACUAAACCAAAAUAGUUACAUGGUGACAUCCACUGCACUAGUGAAUAAUUUUGUAAAAGUCAUGAUGUUUUAGUAACCUGAGGCCUCAGCACAGUGCUGAGAAGUGAUACACGAUUUAAAAACACUAAAUGCUUUAAUGGUAGGUAUAC
Molecule: long non-coding RNA, 1236 nt
Organism: Mauremys reevesii (Reeves's turtle)
Lineage: Eukaryota; Metazoa; Chordata; Testudines; Geoemydidae
Exons: 4
Source: RefSeq, a predicted model, not a curated record